UAUGGCCACAUCAUGCUGAAACACCGGUUCCUGUAUGAUCACCAAAGUUAAGCAAUGUUGAGCCUGGUCAGUACCUAGAUGGGUGACUGCUUGGAAAUACCUGUGGCUGUAAG
Molecule: non-coding RNA, 113 nt
Organism: Acanthosepion pharaonis
Lineage: Eukaryota; Metazoa; Mollusca; Cephalopoda; Sepiida; Sepiidae
Source: the annotation of a GenBank genome assembly